This is a long non-coding RNA of Hibiscus syriacus, 561 nucleotides long. RefSeq lists it as uncharacterized. The transcript has 3 exons. Lineage: Eukaryota; Viridiplantae; Streptophyta; Magnoliopsida; Malvales; Malvaceae. The record is from RefSeq and is a predicted model, not a curated record.
GAGUACGCUACUCUUUACAUUCACUCAAUUUUAGUUUCUUUUUUUCCACUUCUAAAUUUAAGUGUAUUAUUAUAGUUGUUGUUAAGCAUAUUUGAAGAUGGCGGAAAACGGAAAAUCUGCGACGGAGAAAUUACCGGCGACUGCGUAUCCGUUAACCGAAAAUCCGACGCAGAUCGCAUCGGAUAUCAAUUACCACGUGAAGUUCAAUCCUCAUUUCUCGCCGUUCAAGUUUGAGCCAGAACAAGCUUUCUUUGCUAUAGCCGAGAGCGUUCGCAAUAUUCUCACCAAACAAUGGGAAGACACUUUCUGGCACUUCGGCAGAGCUAAUCAGAAACACACUUCUCAAUGGAAUUUCUUCAAGGACGGGCUUUGACUAAUGCGAUUGGGAAUCUAGGCAUUGAAAAUGCUUACGCCGAGGCUUUGAAUAAGUUGGGACAUGAACUCGAGGAGGUUGUUGAGCAGGAAAAAGGUGCUGCACUUGAAAUGGUGGCUUGGGAAGGCUUGCUUCUUGUUUUCUCGAUUCCAUGGCAACCUUGAAUCUGCCUGCUGGGGGAUACGUUU